RNAcentral lists this ribosomal RNA (207 nucleotides) under uncultured bacterium. RNAcentral's name for it is "partial 16S ribosomal RNA". It matches the Rfam family "Bacterial small subunit ribosomal RNA", at positions 568 to 774 of the family's 1533-position model. The record is from RNAcentral.
CGCGUAGGCGGCUCAGCAAGUCGGGUGUGAAAUCCCUCGGCUUAACCGAGGAACUGCACCCGAUACUGCCGAGCUUGAGUCCGGGAGAGGAGAGUGGAAUUCCCAGUGUAGCGGUGAAAUGCGUAGAUAUUGGGAGGAACACCGGUGGCGAAGGCGGCUCUCUGGACCGGUACUGACGCUGAGGCGCGAAAGCCAGGGGAGCAAACA